GAUGUCUACUCACCAUUUCUGUAGCGUACAGACUAGCUUCACUGCCCUAAAAAAAAAACGCUCUGUGCUUCAUCUAUUGUUCCUCUGUCCCAGCCUAAGCCCUGCAACUAUUGAUCCUUUCAUUGUCUUCACAGUUUUGCUUUUUCAAGAUUUCUUAGAGCAAGGAAGUCUUUUCAGACUGGCUUCUUUCACUUACAGUAUGUGGUACGGCUCCUCCAUGGCUUGAUAGCUCAUUUCUUUUAACUGCUGCAUAGUAUUCUAAUGUAUGAAUGUAUGACUGUGUAUACAUUCAGCUACUGAAGUACCUCUUUGCUACUUCCAGGUUUGGGCAGUUAUGAGUAAAGCUGUUAUAAACAUUUGAGUGUAGAUUUUUUGGUGGACAUAGAUUUUCAACUCAUUUGGACAAACAAAGCAGCAUGAUUGUUGGAAUAUAAGAAAUACAACUCACAAAAUGGCGGCACUCUGCAGGGCUGGGCCCCCGGAAUUAAUUCCCCAGCUCACCCAACGGAGCUUCAAGAAAUUCAAUUACAAUUUAAGUUUUCCCACCUUGGUACUGGCUCCCGUGGACAUAUUCAGGAAGGAGACCUGCUUGCCAAUGAGAACCCAGAAAUCAGUCUCCAUCUGUCCCCGAGCUGUUGUGCAAUGAGAGGUUCAGACCCCUUGCUCUGGUUGGCCUGAAAGCUGUGUUCAAGUAUUUUUCUUGAGAACAGGACUUUUCUCACUCUCAUAUGUAGUUUGAGAUCCUGGGUCUGGGGGACACCUGGAAUCAAGCAGCCUUUCCACUAGUUCUUCACUUGGAUGGGAGCACUCUCCCUAGGUGUCUGCAUGGCCAGCUCCCCUACAUCCUUUUUCCUCUAAGCCUUUACUGAAAUUUCACCUUCUCAAUAGGCUACGCCAUUGCAACCCACCCCAUGCCCACCCCUCAGCAUUCUCAACCUCCUUUGCUCUAUUUUUCAUAGUUCUUAUCACUUUCUUUUUGUCUUUGUUUUUUCUGCAGUUUCAAUAUGAUAACGCCUAGUUAUAGC
Molecule: long non-coding RNA, 1025 nt
Filed under: Heterocephalus glaber (naked mole-rat)
Lineage: Eukaryota; Metazoa; Chordata; Mammalia; Rodentia; Bathyergidae
Description: lncRNA (ENSHGLG00100047519.1)
Source: RNAcentral